RNAcentral lists this ribosomal RNA (253 nucleotides) under uncultured bacterium. RNAcentral's name for it is "partial 16S ribosomal RNA". It matches the Rfam family "Bacterial small subunit ribosomal RNA", at positions 524 to 776 of the family's 1533-position model. The record is from RNAcentral.
UACGUAGGGUGCACGCGUUAAUCGUAAUUACUGGGCGGAAAGCGUGCGCAGGCGGUUUUGUAAGUCUGACGUGAAAUCCCCGGGCUCAACCUGGGAAUUGCGUUGGAGACUGCAAGGCUAGAAUCUGGCAGAGGGGGGUAGAAUUCCACGUGUAGCAGUGAAAUGCGUAGAGAUGUGGAGGAACACCGAUGGCGAAGGCAGCCCCCUGGGUCAAGAUUGACGCUCAUGCACGAAAGCGUGGGGAGCAAACAGG